UUUAUUUAAAAAUGCAUUCGUUUUAUUUCAACGCUUUUAUAAGUGGGCAAAAAAACGUCCCGUGCGAAUGAGUCUUUAUUCUGUUCGACUUAAUCGACGGGUGAAAUGUUAAUGAAAUUAUUUACUUACGUAUAAUGUACUGAAAUUUUACAACUCUGGUGUGACCCCGGCUGACCAAAUUCGUGAAAGAUGACGCCCACAUAUUUUGGGGAAACUCUUUUUACGAGCCGUCUCACCGGCCCUGGUGGGGCCGGAGAGGAUGUGUGAGACUCGGCCUGGGCAGGUCCCUACUCACUAAAACCACUGCGAAAGCCAUCGGCCGCUAUGUUGGUGCACCCCGGAUCUGUCAGCGACAGGGCAAAACAUACAGAUCUGUUCAAUAUUCUGACUAAUCUAAAACAAUCUCAAUUGUAUUUUCAUAUUCUUUAAUAUUAUUUAGA
Long non-coding RNA from Danaus plexippus (monarch butterfly), 440 nucleotides. RefSeq lists it as uncharacterized. The transcript is spliced from 3 exons. The record is from RefSeq and is a predicted model, not a curated record. Lineage: Eukaryota; Metazoa; Arthropoda; Insecta; Lepidoptera; Nymphalidae.